UACGGAGGGUGCAAGCGUUAAUCGGAAUUACUGGGCGUAAAGCGUACGUAGGCGGUGUGUUAAGCAAAAUGUGAAAGCCCCGGGCUCAACCUGGGAAUUGCAUUUUGAACUGGCACGCUAGAGUCCUGAAGAGGGUGGUAGAAUUUCCAGUGUAGCGGUGAAAUGCGUAGAUAUUGGAAGGAAUACCAGUGGCGAAGGCGGCCACCUGGUCAGAGACUGACGCUGAGGUACGAAAGCGUGGGGAGCAAACAGG
This 253-nucleotide ribosomal RNA is filed under the name uncultured bacterium. RNAcentral describes it as "partial 16S ribosomal RNA". It matches the Rfam family "Bacterial small subunit ribosomal RNA", at positions 524 to 776 of the family's 1533-position model. The record is from RNAcentral.